CCUACGGGAGGCAGCAGUGAGGAAUAUUGGUCAAUGGGCGCAGGCCUGAACCAGCCAAGUCGCGUGAGGGAAGACUGCCCUAUGGGUUGUAAACCUCUUUUAUAAGGGAAGAAUAAUGACUACGUGUAGUCAGAUGCCCGUACCUUAUGAAUAAGCAUCGGCUAACUCCGUGCCAGCAGCCGCGGUAAUACGGAGGAUGCGAGCGUUAUCCGGAUUUAUUGGGUUUAAAGGGUGCGCAGGCGGAUUUUUAAGUCAGCGGUCAAAUCGUGGGGCUCAACCCCAUCCAGCCGUUGAAACUGGGGAUCUAGAGUGUGCGAGAGGUAUGCGGAAUGCGUGGUGUAGCGGUGAAAUGCAUAGAUAUCACGCAGAACCCCGAUUGCGAAGGCAGCAUACCGGUGCACAACUGACGCUCAGGCACGAAAGCGUGGGUAUCGAACAGGAUUAGAUACCCGGGUAGUC
RNAcentral lists this ribosomal RNA (459 nucleotides) under uncultured bacterium. RNAcentral's name for it is "partial 16S ribosomal RNA". It matches the Rfam family "Bacterial small subunit ribosomal RNA", at positions 338 to 795 of the family's 1533-position model. The record is from RNAcentral.